GUUACAAAACUAUUUCUUACAACUUUCUACUAACUUUAUUUCCCCCCUAAAUAUGUUAUUUAAACAUGUAUUUUUAAUAUUCUAUGAAUGUUAAAAUGUCCAAAAAUUUUUCUUGAUGUGAUUAACGUUAUUUAAAAACUACAAAAACAUUCUGCUAACUGUAUUUUCACCUGAACUAUAAAGUUAUUUGAAAGUUUAUUAUUUUUUAUAUUCUAAGAAUGUUAAAAUGUCAAGAUUGGAAUGUUAUUUAAAAGUUACAAUAAAAUGGAAAUAACAUUCGAAGAACAUUCCGAGAAGGUUGCUUUCUCGUAACAUUAUGAGAAAGUUUACGAAAUGAAGUUAUAGAAAAUGUCUGCUAAACAUUACUUUAAGAACGUUUUGUCCUUUUUUUUUUUUCUUUUAAAAAACAUUGUGAUAAUGUUCCCUGUUAGCUUUAAAAAAUGUAAGAGAAACGUCCCUCUGAAAUGUUUAAGAAAAAACAUUCCAUAAACAAUGUAUAAAUAAUGUCUUUUGUCCUAACAUUUCAGAAUGUUAUUUAAGACCAGAUAACUAGAAGAAUGUUAGUUCAUAACUUUGAGAAAACUAGAAAGUUAGCUAAAGUUCUGAGAACGUUCCCUGUUAGCUGGGUUGUGUUUCUGUGUACCACAUGACUAGUUAAAGACUUAAUUGUUUUCGUUAUGGAUUAAUACAUGUAUUAGUGUUUUAUUUGUACUUUUAAACACUUUGUAGCCAAUCUGUACAUUUAAGCACAUCGGUCUGACUGUAAAGUUGCUGUUAGCACCAUUUAUUCAGUCUAAACUGUUCACGUAUUUAUAUUUCAGUAUAAAUGGAAGGAUUGUGUUCAUAUGGAGAAACAAACCAACAAACGGAUAUUUUCCUUGUCCGUCUUCCGGCAUACUUAACCAAUAAGCAAGAUAAGCAGCCGCUUAGGGCCCCGGGGAAUCAUCUUAAUAUUAGAUUACAUUUUCGAUUUGUUUCUGUAGCCUAUGCUCUCAGAACACUUGGAAUAUGGAAUGAGUUGCAUGGGAUAAUUUUAUGACAUUUGAAACCUUUUUUGUAAAAUGAUCAAAGGUAUAGCCUGUUGUAAAGGGGUAAAUAAAUUAUAAACUAUAAGACA
This is a long non-coding RNA of Cyprinus carpio (common carp), 1117 nucleotides long. The record is from Ensembl. Lineage: Eukaryota; Metazoa; Chordata; Actinopteri; Cypriniformes; Cyprinidae.